RNAcentral lists this ribosomal RNA (482 nucleotides) under uncultured bacterium. RNAcentral describes it as "partial 16S ribosomal RNA". It matches the Rfam family "Bacterial small subunit ribosomal RNA", at positions 30 to 507 of the family's 1533-position model. The record is from RNAcentral.
AUUGAACGCUGGCGGCAUGCCUUACACAUGCAAGUCGAACGGUAACAGGUCUUCGGAUGCUGACGAGUGGCGAACGGGUGAGUAAUACAUCGGAACGUGCCCGAUCGUGGGAGAUAACGAGGCGAAAGCUUUGCUAAUACCGCAUACGAUCUACGGAUGAAAGCGGGGGAUCUUCGGACCUCGCGCGGACGGAGCGGCCGAUGGCAGAUUAGGUAGUUGGUGGGAUAAAAGCUUACCAAGCCGACGAUCUGUAGCUGGUCUGAGAGGAUGAUCAGCCACACUGGGACUGAGACACGGCCCAGACUCCUACGGGAGGCAGCAGUGGGGAAUUUUGGACAAUGGGCGAAAGCCUGAUCCAGCCAUGCCGCGUGCAGGAUGAAGGCCUUCGGGUUGUAAAAUGCUUUUGUACGGAACGAAAAGCCUCUUUCUAAUAAAGAGGGGUCAUGACGGUACCGUAAGAAUAAGCACCGGCUAACUACGUG